This 341-nucleotide long non-coding RNA is filed under the name Salvia miltiorrhiza (redroot sage). RNAcentral's name for it is "long non-coding RNA (SMIL_LNC010755)". The record is from RNAcentral. Lineage: Eukaryota; Viridiplantae; Streptophyta; Magnoliopsida; Lamiales; Lamiaceae.
AAUUAGUGAAAUUGAAAUAAAACUUAUAAAACAUAAAUGUAUGACUAUAAUUGUAGGAAUAAUGUACGUUGAGCACAUCAAUUAAUAACUUAAGAAAAAUAUAUUAUACGAUAUUAUAUUAUAAUAAUUUAGCAAACUCGAAAUAAAAAAUAAAAAAAUGACCAUAAUUAUGAUAAUAAUAUCAUACGUUGAGCACAUCGAUUAGUUAUUCAAUUAAAUUAUAUUAUAAAUAAAUUUAACGAACUCAAAAUUUAAAAUAAAAAAGAAUUGCUAUGAUUGUGAAAAUAAAAAGAUAAAAAUAUCGAAAAGAAAAAAUAAAAAGAUCACUAAUUGAAUACCCU